GCGCCAGGGAGGGAGGGCGAGUGCGCAGGGGCGUGGGGUGCUCUGCACCGGCUGCGCUCUUGGGCGGGUCUUGUUUUUCAAAGUGGACAGGUCGUGGUGAAGUUGGUUCCCGGGGACGCGUGGCCAAGUAGGGUACGAAGCGAAGUCACUGUCGGUUUUGUGGCCGUGAAGUGGGAAAGUCACGCCGGGCAUCCCUUCACUAGGGCGCGGGUGGGGUGGGGUGGGGUGGCCGUGCGGCGCCCCGGCCGGGUUUGGAGCCGGACCUCGUGCAGCCGGCUCGGGCGCUCGCCUCGCUCCGCCGACACCCAGCCGGCCGACGCGGCCACCUUUCUAGGUUCUGCCCUACAGCUUCCGCUGCAAACCCCGGUCCCCGACCCCGCCACCCGAGGGUCUCCGGGUGCCUAGCCUCGCCCAGCCGGCAGGCGGCGUGCCAGACCUCAGGUGACUUGGAGCAAACUGUGGAAACCAGUAAGCCAAAAGGCGUGGAAGCCGAUACAAAAGGCAACAUUCUGAUGGUGUGCACAGGAUGAGGAGACAAAUGCAGUGAUGGCCCAGGCCUGCGGGAUGUGAUGGUGUUCCCAGGACAUCUGAGACUGUGAUGUAAGGAUGCCCGCACUCGAGGUGUGCUUUGCUGUUUCUCAAUUGCCUUUAUCUGACAUUUCUACAUAGCCAAAGGGAGAGAACACAUCCAAGUGAAAUGUCAGUAGUUGGAAGCAGGAGACACCAACAGAAAGAUUUCCUCCUACUAGGGUACAAAGGUAAAUAAAAGACGGCACUAGGAAAAAAUCAUCUUUAGCAUCUUUAACUUCCUACUUUGUUUAACGGACAUAAUCGGUGAGACAGUGAAGGACAGAUAACAUUUGAUUCUCUGGGGGCAGGCAUGUGGAAGUCUAUGGGCAAUGGCUUCUGUCUUUUGCCUUCUGAGUUAUCCAGGUCUGCCUUACAGACAACCGCAUAUGGAGGGAGGAACAGGAGAACUGUCUGGACAACUGUGCUGUCCUUCAACCACAGAGUCAGUACCAGACGAGAUCAUGAAAGAGGUGAGAGGAGCUGGAAGCAAUCCCACCCCGUCUCUGGGUUUCCAGGGCACUUCCUUUGUGCCCCUGAUGGCACUUUCCCUUUCCUCUCUGACAUGGCUGCUGUUUCCUCUCUCCUGAGCACUGGGGAGGGGCAGCUCUGUGUGAGACUCUUCUUUGAUCAGCACGGAUCCUAGCUGAGGCCUGCCAAGCAACUGCCACAGGACAUACUUCUUAUUGCAAUCAAAGGAGAGGCCUAGAGAAUAGGUGUUCUGUGGGAAGAGUGGACACGGACUUUCUGAGGUAUGUCUGUGUACCACCUGAUGCCCUCAGAGGGCAGAAGAGGGCAUUGGAUCCCCUGGAACUGGAGUUGCAGAUGGUUGUUGGCCACCAUUC
Molecule: long non-coding RNA, 1412 nt
Organism: Peromyscus californicus insignis
Lineage: Eukaryota; Metazoa; Chordata; Mammalia; Rodentia; Cricetidae
Exons: 3
Source: RefSeq, a predicted model, not a curated record